AUGAAGCCCACCUCAAGAUGAGAUUUCCCAUCACAUGAAGUGAGUAAGACCCCUGAGAGAUGAUCAGGUUGAUAGGUCUGAGGUGGAAGCGUGGUGACACGUGCAGCUGACAGAUACUAAUCGGUCGAGGGCUUAUCCU
Molecule: ribosomal RNA, 139 nt
Filed under: Salibacterium qingdaonense
Lineage: Bacteria; Bacillati; Bacillota; Bacilli; Caryophanales; Bacillaceae
Description: 23S rRNA. Bacterial LSU
Rfam family: Bacterial large subunit ribosomal RNA
Source: RNAcentral